Molecule: transfer RNA, 71 nt
Organism: Ipomoea nil (Japanese morning glory)
Lineage: Eukaryota; Viridiplantae; Streptophyta; Magnoliopsida; Solanales; Convolvulaceae
Rfam family: tRNA
About the family: Transfer RNA (tRNA) molecules are approximately 80 nucleotides in length.
Source: Rfam
GCGCAUUUAGUGUAGUGGUAUCAUAGUACCAUCCCAUGGUACUUACUGGGGUUCAAUUCCCCGAAUGCGCA